This 400-nucleotide ribosomal RNA is filed under the name Russula sp. 319-696. RNAcentral's name for it is "eukaryotic LSU rRNA". The stretch from base 1 to 105 matches the Rfam family "5.8S ribosomal RNA", at positions 50 to 154 of the family's 154-position model. The record is from RNAcentral. Lineage: Eukaryota; Fungi; Basidiomycota; Agaricomycetes; Russulales; Russulaceae.
GAAAUGCGAUACGUAAUGUGAAUUGCAGAAUUCAGUGAAUCAUCGAAUCUUUGAACGCACCUUGCGCCCCUUGGCAUUCCGAGGGGCACACCCGUUUGAGUGUCGUGAAAUUCUCAAAGACCCUUUUCUUUUAAAGGAUUUUUGGACUUGGAGGUUCAAUGCUCGCUUUCGCUUUCGAAGGUGAGCUCCUCUCAAAUGAAUUAGUGGGGUCCGCUUUGUCGAUCCUUGACGUGAUAAGAUGUUUCUACGUUUUGGAUUUGGCACUGUCUUUUGGAUGUUUGCUUCCAACUGUCUUAUGGACGACGAUGGUGCUCCGGUCACCGCCACCUACGUUGGCGGGAGGCUGGACCCACAAAAAACCCUUGACCUCAAAUCGGGUGAGACUACCCGCUGAACUUAA